Long non-coding RNA from Sinocyclocheilus rhinocerous, 435 nucleotides. RefSeq lists it as uncharacterized. The transcript has 3 exons. The record is from RefSeq and is a predicted model, not a curated record. NCBI's taxonomy places the organism in Eukaryota, Metazoa, Chordata, Actinopteri, Cypriniformes, Cyprinidae.
UUCUUACUACAUCCUCCAUCCAGACUUUCUCAGAUAUGUGCGUAACAGGUUUCUUAAGGCAAAACAAUUGAAAACAAAAAGAUGGUGGCUAGUCAGGCCAACUAAUGGAGCAUUUACUCUUCUGCUGGCUAUGCACACAUGUGACAUUGUGAGAGCCUAUGGUUUUAGCACAGCUGACUAUCAGAAAUAUCCAAACUACUACUAUGACAACAAACACACUAAACUAGUGUUUUAUGCUAAUCAUGAUUAUCGUUUGGAGAUGAGAACCUGGAAGAAAUUUCAUGAUGACAAAUUUAUCUGGAUGUAUUUGGGAAAAUCUGAUAUCUAAACACAAUCAGGGUUUCUUACAAGAAAAUCAUCAUCUUUGAAAUGACCCAAAACAUUACUAGACAAAAAUGUGGUUGAGUCAGUGUUUUUUUUUCACAAUCAGAAAGU